Molecule: small RNA, 1845 nt
Filed under: Gallid alphaherpesvirus 2
Lineage: Duplodnaviria; Heunggongvirae; Peploviricota; Herviviricetes; Herpesvirales; Orthoherpesviridae
Description: latency associated transcript 2 non-coding RNA
Source: RNAcentral
GAACUCGAUUCCGAUUACCGCAGGUCUCUCGGACUAGUUGAGAGGAUCAUUGUCGUUCCAGGUGCAUGUGGUUCGUCCGAUAGAUCGUAGCGUGGCGAAAGCACCGGAGCAGUCUCAGGAAUUACAAUGCGCCUGUAAAACCGGCUAGGCUUCCGACAUAGACGCGGUGGUCUGUCCCCCGAGUGCCAUUCUUCUGGAUCUGAUGCAGCGCAAUGUUCUUUUGCGUCUGCCGACGGGCGAGCUCGGUCAACGUAAUACAACUGCUUCGAAUUGAGGCUACCAUAUCUUCUGCUAGAGCGGAACAUGUUCCCUCGGGAAUGUGAACAACAACCGGCCUGGCCUCUGGAUCUGGAGAUCCAUGAGAGUUAAUGGGCCGACAACAUCCCGCGAGGUUAUAAUAGUGGUCCCGAAAUCGAGAAGGCUGGGCCAGCGGACACAGCACUGACUACGGGGUGAAAUUAUACAUUUCAUGUAUUCCACAGCACCCUGAUAGCCCAAAUCCUCUGUUGAUAAAAACAGGACUCCCAUCCGAGUCAGUGGAGAUAUAUCGGGUGCUGCUUUCCAUCGGCCAGCCCACGCACUGCUCUUGGGUAACGCAUUUGCGACACGAGCGAUGUCUGCCAUAGCCUCGGGAGAAUAGCGCAACACCUCUUGCCAUGGUUCGGGGAUUCUGGCAAACUCUACUAGUUCCACAAAUGCCCCGUUGGGGCAGUAUGCGUUCAGAACAGAUUGGGGAGGGGUUUGACCGAUCACCGUUCCAACCGGGAAUUGCCUGAAUGCGGCACGGUCCCGACGUCCCCGUGGGCCUACUAAGGCCCCGGUCAUAAUAUCGACGGGAACUGGGCCAUGGGAUGUGUUGAAUCUGUGGAUAGCUUCUACUAUCUCUGGACUAUCCGUCAUAGGGGGACGUGUCCGCAAGGCCAGAGGAGGAUGUCACCUGAAUAUCAUUGCGUUGGACGGCUCGGCCGGACUUGGGAGGACGCCCACGUGGGCGUCCUCCCCCACGCCUGUUUGCGGUUUCUUGGGGUAAGUAGUCCUCAUCUUCCAGUUUACGCGUUCGGGGCGAUGUUUUUCUCCCCUUAGACUGCGGUCCGGAUCGCCCACCACGAUUACUACCUCUGCCCCGACGCGGGCGGCUCGAACAAUCAGCCCGCGGUCUGGGGGGCGACGGAGAUGGUGACCUAGAUGAUGAAGGUGAAGACGGGACGAUUAGAGAAGAUGAUGACGGUGAGGAUGAUGAAGAGGAGGAAGAUGAAGAGGAUGGCGAUCUGGAAACAUGUCCGACGUUCCGUCUCAGGGCCGCGUGGUCUGGGGGAACUUCGUGGAGAUGAGGUUGUGUGAGGCAGUUCGCUCAUUCUGCCAGAAGAUGGAGUAGUCAGCCGUGGACCUGAGGUGAGUGGUGCAGCUCAACUCUAGCUUCGCGAAUGGCCGCGGAGAGCGCAGGAGGCAGCGUGGUAGAUGGUUGUGGCAUCUCAAAAGUAACUUCGCAGCCAGGCAUUUAAAGUCUUUCCAUGCCAAACCGGUCCAGGGAUUGGUGCUUCCAUCUCGGCCGUCCACCCAGGUAAUCUCGGGCAAUGGGAACAGCAAUCACUUUCGAAUUCCUUCAGCCCAAAGCACAACCGCGGGUCCACCGGGACUCUCCGACAUAGCUCGAGCCAAAAGGGAAUUGUAGCCCAGGAAGGGCGGUGCAUAUCUGCAAGUAAACAAAACUCGGGGUUCUGUACGAUUGGCCGGGGUCUUACAUGCUCGCCGAAUUGGAUUUGAGAAUCAAUCUUCCGACGGGUCUCCUGACUUGAACAGGGGAAAGGGGGAGGGGGAGUGUGUUAUCUUGUCGCGAACCAAUAA